ACAAGGCUUACUAUCUUCCAGACAGCAUUCAAAAGUUAAAAUCUCUCACAGUUUGAAUCUUUCUUGCUGCCUAAAUCUCCUUCGGUCUUUGCAUUCUCUGUCUAGUCUGACAUCAUUGAGCAUACUUUAUUUAGCGGGGUUCUCACAUCUCAAGAGUCACGAUCUUACAAUCUUGGCAACCUAGCGUCUUUGACGGAUUUGGAUUUAUCAGAAAACAAUUUUUUAAGGAUUCCAAUAAAUAUCCAUGAACUCCCGAGGCUUAGACGUUUGAAUCUAGACUACUGCC
RNAcentral lists this long non-coding RNA (286 nucleotides) under Arachis ipaensis. RNAcentral describes it as "long non-coding RNA (AIPA_LNC002067)". The record is from RNAcentral. Lineage: Eukaryota; Viridiplantae; Streptophyta; Magnoliopsida; Fabales; Fabaceae.